RNAcentral lists this long non-coding RNA (3306 nucleotides) under Gallus gallus (chicken). Lineage: Eukaryota; Metazoa; Chordata; Aves; Galliformes; Phasianidae. The record is from RNAcentral.
UCAAUGGCAACAUAAUAGUUAGAGGAGGGCACUUAAUUAACAUUAAUUGCUCACUCUGUGGCUCAUGGGUAAGAUUUACAGGAAAGCACCUUUUGAAAAAUAGUUUUGAGGGAAGCAUGUCUUCUCUCAUGCACUUAAGCUCAAUUUACAUACAUUUUUCCAUGCAUGAGGCAGUGGUAUCAAUAUUACUUUUAUUUGCAUAAUAUUUGUGGAAUUACAGAGGUAUAUUAAGUUCAAGGCGUGGCAGGAGAAAGAACCAUGGGCAGAAGCCAGCUCCUCAGUGUACAUUGUAUUUUAGAGGUUUUUUGAUAGCAGGAGAGUAGAAUGUAUUUUGUGCAGAAGAGCAGGUUUAUCAAGACUCUGAUCUCUUCCUUUCUUAACUCUCCCUCCUCCUUUGUUCUGCUCUUUCAGCUCAUUUUUGUAAGGGGGGUUUUCUUCUCAGGCUGCAUUUUUUUUCCUCUUCUUGAAGCUUGUUGGCUACAAAGAGGAAAAAGUGACAGGUUUGAAAUAAAGGUAAUCAUAGGUAAUGGUUUAUAUUUCUCUGUCCUUAUAGCCAGAGAAAAGCACUCAAAGCACUUUCAUACGAUAGCUCUAGUACAAAAUAAGGACCUUUCAGAAUGGCACCUUGCUUAACUGAGUGGUUGUGCUGACUGAAUUUUUCCAUUGCUGAAGAAUCCAUCAGAGCCUCUGGUCAUUUCUGAUCCAGCUUACACAGACCUUCCAUGUUUGUUCCCUCCCUCGGGUUCAAGGCAGCAAGACUCGCGAUCCUGCUCACAGAAUGUGCCUGUUAUGCAGUCAGUCAUGGAGGCACCCGGACAGAUGAGGUUCAAGUUGGUCUGCAUUGAUUUGAACGUACGGUAGCUUUGGAACUGCUCUAUUACCUGGAAGACCUCUGAAUUCUGGUUAAGCUCACUUUGAUCCUGGUCAUAUUGGCUGCUUAAAGUGUACUUACACGCAGCUUGAGCCUGUCUGGAUGCCGUUCUUCCUCUUCAUUCAUUUCUCUUUUCUGCCCUGAUUUGUAUCCCUGCCCUCCAGCAUAACAUUAUUUAGAAGCCUCUUGUCCUCCUGCACAGAUGGCAGUUUUCUGUAGGGAAAGUGAGUUGUAUGCCCGAAACAGGAAAGAUGUUGAUCCAGGAGAUUUAGAGAGAAAGGGAUGCUUCUUCUGGUAGGUUUCUGAGAGCUGGGGACUUAGCACAGUUUCUGAAAGAGCUGCUAGCGGGCUGAUCUUGAAUGCUGUGGGGGUUUGUGUCAUUGUCUUUGUUUCAAGCUCUUCUGGAAUCCUCACUUUGACUUUUAGUUGCAUUUGUGGAUGUAUUGAGACUGCAAUCAAUUGAUUGAAAUCCAUAAAUAAUAGGACAAUUUUCAAUUUGAGAUGCAGUAACAGGAUGCUAUUGGGAGAAGGUUUAUGUACGUGAGAAGCUUUUUAUAGCUCACUCCCCCCUCGAGUCCAGUCCUGGCCAGCCCCUGGCAAUGGGAAGGCCCUGGCCUUACCGCCAGCUUGUUGGAGGCCAAUCCCACACUGCACAGCAGCGGGGAUGCUCACACAGCCGUCUGUGGCAGUGCAGCACCGCAAGGCCUGCUGUGGCGCUCGGCUGAGCUUUGGGGGUCACAGGCGAUGUGGCAUUAAAGUAACUACGAGAAACAGAAAAAGCAAGACAGACUAACAUGAAAAAACACAUUUUAUUGCACUUAAGUUAUAAGAAAAUAAAAUUUCUAAGUGAAUCAAACCAUAGACACAGUCCCUUUAAACGCUGUUUUCCUCCAUCACGUCAGGUUGUUACAUAACUAAAAUUAACCAACUGGAAUCUGAUUGUUUUAAAUCAGACUAUAAAUAAAACAAAAAACAAAACAAAACAAAAAAAAAAAAGGAGGAAAAAAGAUCGCCUAGGAUACAGUGUUAAACCACUUUCACAGUUCAGCUUGAGUUGUGGCUCUUGGAGAAUGAGGCAAACUGUUUGACUCUUUCAUUUCUCAUCGUGUUUGCAUGUGACAUCUUUACAAAAACGUAAGUUUUUGCUCUGUCAGUUCCUCCCAGCAAUAACUGUAACAGUUGUUUUUUUUUUCUCAAAUACUGUAAAACACUACGACUGACCAGCAACUUUAUUUUCAUUUUUGUGUUUUAUAAUCUUUUUUAAAAAUUUUGUCAGUUUUUUUAAUUUUUUUUUUUGUGUUCAUUCCAUUCACCACAGCCCUCACAAAGAAAAAAUUUCCCCACAGAACAGGCUGCAAUAGCUUUGUUCUAAGGAAUGUGUUUUAAUUUUUGCCCAGAAAAAAAGAAAAUAAGCUUUGCACACACACUCAAUUCUUUAUUUGCAGGCAAACUUCACUCUUUAAUUGUCUGAAACUCUUCCACUCUCAGCCUCUUAGAGGCACAGUUGGCUCAAGUUUCAGUGGCAAAAAGUCUUUUUCUGUAACCAAACUAGAGCAAAUUUGGAAUUCAGUCUGGGACUAAAACGUCACAGCAGAAAAAAAAAAAUAAAAAAAAAUAAUUUGCUUUUUCUUUCUUUCAUUUAGCAGCAUAAAUAAGUUUGGCCACUGGGAAUACAGUACAGGGGUGGGAAAACAAUCCCGUAAUUGAAGACCUACUUCUAGCACCAGCGUUGCGAAUUAAAUCCGUCAGAGGACUCUCAGAACCCAGGACAACUUUGCCACCUCAGAGCAACUUAGGCGUUGAAGAGUGUAGAUGGAAGCAACGGUAAGUAGAUUAAACAGAGGCUAAUACUGUGAUUGACGUUGGCAAUGGUUGGCAAAAAAAAGGAAGAAAAGAAAAAAAAAAGAAAAAGAAAAAGCUCUGAUAAAACUGCACAAAACAAUUCACAGUACUAUUUUAGCUUUUCCACACCAGGAAUGGACUCUCUUUGUUUUGCGGUUGGUUUCAUUGCAGACGCUCUCUGGUUUUUGAAGUCAGCCGGCAGCCGCUCACGGAGGCUGGGAGGGACCCUGCUCAGAGCGGGGCCGGGAGGGCGCCUUGCUGAGGGGGCCAGGGGGUACCAGCAGGCGUGCAUGUGCAGCUUCCUUAAGGAUCUCUGUAGUAAAAUAACCUGGUAACAAGAACUGUAACUUUUUUUUUUUUUAACCUCCAGAUUGCUCAUGGAAGCAGCUGGAGGAAAGUAAAGAAAUAAUUGCACCUGGUUUCAUUUCAGAAGUUGUGUUUUUGCAAAGCUGCCCCGGUCGAAGGUGUUGCCAUUUUAUGUGACGAGACAGCGAAUGCCUCUCUUGUCAGUCAGAGUUUGUUAUCGUUGUCUUCUCCUUCGUAGUCUGUAGGUCUUUAGGAUCUGUUGCCCCAAGCCAACAUCCUGCACCACC